UAGAUGGACACAAUGCCUUUAUUUGGCUUAUUCGUUUUUUUUAUGUGGCACUGAGAAUUGAACCCAGUGCCACACACAUGCUAGGCAAGUGCUCACUCUACCACUGAACCACAACCUAGCCCCUACAACUACUUUAACUAAAAGUAUUUUCAAUAUAACACAUUUAUUUUUUCUUAGCUACCAACUAAUCUUUUUAUGAUUUAGAAGAGAUUAACUUUACAAAUGAUAUUUUCCUUAUGUUUAUGUGCAAAUCAAAGAUUAUUUUGACUUUGAAUAAAUUACUAUGCUUGUAUUCUGUGUUGCCCAAAUUAUACAACAAAGUCCAAACACAUAAAACACAUUAACAAUAGGUUAAAAUAUUCCUAUACCAAUCUUCAAUUUUUCAUUUCUGUGUAUUACAUAUUUCUUCUCCCAUGCCAGAUGUGCCAGUUAUUAUCAAUCCUUAUCCAAAGUCUCUUUUUAUAUUUUCAUGUGGUCCUUUAGCUCUACUAAAGCAAUUACUAAAAGUGUAUGUAAAUAAAUACUCUUAUUCAGAAAUUUGAAAAACAUAUUAAUACAGAAGAAAGCUUCUGUAUCCAUAUUUUAUAGAGAAUUCAAUUUGUUUCAGAAUGACUUCUCAACUCCUAGAUGCCUAACUUAUUUUUUAAUCAGAGAAGUAUGUGCUAAUUCAGUUUGGCUCAUUUGACUGUUUUGCAAUCAAUCUGUAUUCUUAGCCAAACUGCAGCUAUGGAGAGCAAAAUCUUUCAACCUCUUUAGUAAGAAUAGCUAUUUUGUGUGUAGUGAAACUGAAUUUCUAUUUCUCAGUAAAGAGAAACAGGACACCACGAUACCACAGGUAACUUCUACAGCUUCCCACCACAGCACAGGGACAAAGGAAUGGAGUACAGAAGGACACCCAUUUGCCAUCCUAAUUUUUUUUUCUGGUUGCAUGUACAGUAUAUUCACACCACUCAGGUCUUUAUAUGUGUACUUACGGUAAUGAUAUCCAUCUAAUUCCACCAUCAUUUUUACCCCCAUUCCCUCUCCCUUUCCUUCCCACCCAUUUGCCCUAUCUAGAGUUCCUCUAAUCCUCCAUGAUCCCCCUCCCAAUCUCAGUAUAAAUUAGCCUCCUUAUAUCAGAGAAAAUAUUGGCCAUUUGGUUUUUUGGGAUUGGUUAAUUGCACUUAGCAUUAUCUUCUCCAACUCCACCUAUUUACCUGCAAAUGCCAUGAUUUUAUUAUCUUGUAUUGCCAAGUAACAUUCCAUUGUGUAUAUUUACAACAUUUUCUUUAUCCAUUCAUCUAGUGAAGGGCAUCUAGGUUGGAUCCACAGUUUAGCUAUUGUGAAAUGUGCUGCCAUAAACAUCGAUGUGGCAGUGUCCCUGUGGUAUGCUGUUCUUAAGUCCUUUGGGUAUAGACCAAGGAGUGGGAUGGCUGGGCCAAAUGGUGGUUGCAUUCAUAGCUUUCCAAGGAAUCUCCAUACUGCUUUCCAUAUUGCACCAAUUUGCAGUCCCACCAGCAAUGUAAGAUAGUGCCUUUUCCCCCACAUGCUCACCAACACAUAUUGUCAUAUGUGUUCUUAAUAGCUGCCAUUCUGAUUGGAGUGAGAUAAAAUCUUAGAGUAGUUUUGAUUUGCAUUUCUCUAAUUGCUGGAGAUGUUGAACAUUUGGAAAACUACCUCAUUUACAAUAGCCUCAAAAAAAAGUACUUGGGAAUCAAUCUAACAAAAGAAGUAAAAGACCUCACAGUGAAAACUACAGAACAAUAAAGAAAGAAAUUAAAGAAGACCUUAGAAGAUGGAAAGGUCUAACUUGUUCUUGGAUAGGCAGAAUCAAUAUAAUCAAAAUGACCAUACUACCAAAAGCACUAUACAGAUUUAAUGCAAUUCCAAUCAAAAUCCCAAUGACAUUUCUCAUAGAAAUAGAAAAAGCAAUCAUGAAAUUCAUCUGGAACAAUAAGAGACCCAGAAUAGCUAAAGCAAUUCUUAGCAAGAAGAGUAAAGCACAUGGCAUCACCAUAAAACACCUCAAACUAUACUACAGAGCAUGGUAUUGGCACCUAAAUAGACUGGUAGACCAAUGGUACAGAAUAGAAGGCACAGAGACUAACACACAUAAUUACAGUUAUCUUAUAUUAGACAAAGGCACAGAAAACAUACAUUGGAGAAAAGACAGCCUCUUCAACAAAUGGUGCUGGGAGAACUGGAAAACCAAUAUGCAAUAAAAUAAAAUUAAACCCUUGUCUCUCACCAUGCACAAAAUUCAACUCAAAGUGGAUCAAAGAUCUAGGAAUUAAACCAGAGGCACUGUGCCUAUUAGAAUAAAAACUAGGCCCAAAUCUCCUUCAUGUUGGAUUAGGCCCCAGCUUCCUUAAUUAAACUCCUAUAGCACAAGAAUUAAAAUCAAGAAUCAAUAAAUGGGAUGGAUUCAAACUAAAAAGCUUCUUCUCAGCAAAAGGAACAAUCAGUGAGGUGAAUAGAGGACCUACAUCUUGGAAGCAAAUUUUUACCACUCACACAUCAGAUAGAGCACUAAUCUCUAGGGGUAUAUGAAGAACACAAAAAGAUAAACAUACACACACACACACACACACACACACAAAAAUAGCCCAACCCAUCAACAAAUGGGCCAAAGAACUGAACAGACACCUCUCAGAAGAUGAUAUACAAUCAAUCAACAAAUAGAAAAAAAAAAUGUUCCACAUCUCUACUAUCCUAAUUUUUAACAUUGACUAUAAAACAGUUUUCUCUCUGGAGAGAAAAUUGAGGGGACAAAUAUGAGGGAAGAGAAUGAAGCUUACUCUCAUCACUAGAGCUGCUGAUGUGACUGAGGGAUUGAGAGCCACUACAGAAAUAGGAGUUUGAGGAAUCUAAUAUUGAAAAAAAAGAAAUUUUAACCUGUGUUCUGAGUGUUAUCUCAAUCCAAGAUAUUAACCUUGAAAUGUGUACUUUUCUCUGAAAUAUGUCAUCUUUAUUCUCAAGGCAACAUAGCUACACUGGUUAAUAAACUCAUGGUAAGUCAAAUAACUAACUAUAGGAUAUGAGUGUGUGAUGCAAUUUCUUCUACAUUUGUUUCAUUGUUUGUGAAACUAGCAUAAAAAUAUAACUCAACUAUAAGGUUAUUUGGGAAUUUAAAUUAGACAAAAUAUGUAACGCAUUUAGAAUAGUGCCCAUCUUUGAGAUCUUGAUUGACUUGAAGUACUUUGGAAUCUCCUGAUAAUAUUGAUGCGUCAGACAGAGGAUAACAUGUUGACAUGUUUAAUAGAUAAUCAUAAACUUGAAGAUAUAUAUAAUUAUUUCUUAAUUUUUUUUACAAAUUUCAGCAAAAUUUUACUACUGAUACUAUUGCCAUGAUAGUAUCAUUACAAGUCAUUGGUUCUUAACAAUUUGGAGAUAAACAUUAUUUUUAAAAAGGGUGAUCUCUUUCUUCAAGACAAAACCAAAAUAUAAAAGUUGUAGGCCAAGUAUAAGAAAUAACUCUCACACAUAAAUGCAUGAGGCGGAUGAGCCAGGAUUCAGGAAUACCGAGAUCUAACCAUUGAUUACAGUCCCUGUUGUGCUCUGGCUCCAGAAUGCCUUCUCAGAGACCACCAUCUUUCCCAAAGCUUUGGCAUAUCUGUAAAAAAAUUUUAAAAAAAGAGGAAGCCUGGGGCAAGGAGGUACUAUUCUCUUCUGCUUCGAUAAUUUAGCCCAUAGGUACAGAUUGCUUUCACAUCUGUAGAAGUACCUGGAUCCAAAGAGGGAAAAAUCAAACAGCCUAUUUCUUAGAAAAUAAAGGAAAAUAAAAUCAGCAGUAUCUGAGUAAAUUAAGGGAGAAUAAACUGCCAAUGUUCCUUCUAAAAUGCACUUAAUGUUAGCAUUUUCUAGCCUCCAGUCAGUUCUCAAGUAACAAUCUGCUUUCCUCAAAUUAGAUACAAUAACUGUGAGUCUUUGCCAAUAGUUCUAGUUUCUAUUCAGUGAUUAAACUUCUUGCCCUAUACUAAUUUGGGGCAUGUACACAGCACAUACAUACGACCCUGCACAUCAGUUAGUGAAAACUGUAGAAAUAUUGAAAUGCUGUGUCCCAUUUCUAGCAAGCCAAAAGGGUUUUCUUGU
Molecule: long non-coding RNA, 4071 nt
Filed under: Marmota monax (woodchuck)
Lineage: Eukaryota; Metazoa; Chordata; Mammalia; Rodentia; Sciuridae
Source: RNAcentral